Long non-coding RNA from Syngnathoides biaculeatus (alligator pipefish), 282 nucleotides. RefSeq lists it as uncharacterized. The transcript has 3 exons. Lineage: Eukaryota; Metazoa; Chordata; Actinopteri; Syngnathiformes; Syngnathidae. The record is from RefSeq and is a predicted model, not a curated record.
GUGAAUGCAUCGUCUAAAACAUAGUCUAGUUUGCUGCAGAACCAAUGAGGCUUGUGAAAAGCUAUUUAUGUGGCGAUCAGGAAGAAAAACGAAUGAAAACAAAUAACAACUAAUCGACAGUUUGAAAUUCGUCCUUUUUAUAUUACGCUACUCUACAGAUGAAGAAAAAGAAGAGGAGACCAGAGUAGCAGGUCCGGAUCACAUAUUUUUUCCCAGAAAGAAAUGUCAUUAGAAGCCUUGCAGUUAUGAAGCAAAUGGAGCAGUAUUGUGACAAAUAGGAGC